CAAUAGCGUAUAUUAAAGUUGUUGCAGUUAAAAGCUCGUAGUUGGAUCUCGGGUCCGGGCUCGCGGUCCACCUCGCGGUGGUUACUGCCCGUCCCGACCUACCUACCGGUUUUCCCUUGGUGCUCUUAACUGAGUGUCUCGGGUGGCCGGAACGUUUACUUUGAAAAAUUAGAGUGUUCAAAGCAGGCGCUUCGCCUGAAUAAUGUUGCAUGGAAUAAUGGAAUAGGACCUCGGUUCUAUUUUGUUGGUUUUCGGAACUUGAGGUAAUGAUUAAGAGGGACAGACGGGGGCAUUCGUAUGAUGGUGUUAGAGGUGAAAUUCUUGGAUUUGUUAAAGACGGACUACUGCGAAAGCAUUUGCCAAGGAUGUUUUCAUUGAUCAAGAACGAAAGUUAGGGGAUCGAAGACGAUUAGAUACCAU
Molecule: ribosomal RNA, 420 nt
Filed under: uncultured eukaryote
Lineage: Eukaryota
Description: SSU rRNA
Rfam family: Eukaryotic small subunit ribosomal RNA
Source: RNAcentral